Molecule: ribosomal RNA, 497 nt
Filed under: uncultured bacterium
Lineage: Bacteria
Description: partial 16S ribosomal RNA
Rfam family: Bacterial small subunit ribosomal RNA
Source: RNAcentral
GAUGAACGCUGGCGGCGUGCCUAAUACAUGCAAGUCGAGCGAACGGACGAGAAGCUUGCUUCUCUGAUGUUAGCGGCGGACGGGUGAGUAACACGUGGAUAACCUACAUAUAAGACUGGGAUAACUUCGGGAAACCGGAGCUAAUACCGGUUAAUAUUUUGAACCGCAUGGUUAAAAAGUGAAAGACGGUCUUGCUGUCACUUAUAGAUGGAUCCGCGCUGCAUUAGCUAGUUGGUAAGGUAACGGCUUACCAAGGCAACGAUGCAUAGCCGACCUGAGAGGGUGAGCGGCCACACUGGAACUGAGACACGGUCCAGACUCCUACGGGAGGCAGCAGUAGGGAAUCUUCCGCAAUGGGCGAAAGCCUUACGGAGCAACGCCGCGUGAGUGAUGAAGGUCUUCGGAUCGUAAAACUCUGUUAUUAGGGAAGAACAUAUGUGUAAGUAACUGUGCACAUCUUGACGGUACCUAAUCAGAAAGCCACGGCUAACUACGUG